GAUGAACGCUGGCGGCGUGCCUAAUACAUGCAAGUAGAACGCUGAAGGCGGAGCUUGCUCUUCUGGAUGAGUUGCGAACGGGUGAGUAACGCGUAGGUAACCUGCCUGGUAGCGGGGGAGAACUAUUGGAAACGAUAUCUAAUACCGCAUGACAACAGUUAUGGCAUGAUAACUGUUUAAAAGGCGCAACUGCUCUACUACCAGAUGGACCUGCGUUGUAUUAGGUAGCUGGGGUGGUAACGGCUCACCAAGGCGGCGAUACAUAGACGACCUGAGGGGAUGAUCAGCCGCACUGGGACUGAGACGCGGCCCAGAAUCCUGAGGGAGGCAGCAGUAGGGCACCUUCGGCAAGGGGCGGAAGGCUAACCGAGGAACGCCGCGUGAGUGAAGAAGGUUAUCGGAUCGUAGAGCUCUGUUGUAAGAGGAGAACGAGUGUGAGAGUGGAAAGAUCACACUGUGACGGUAUCUGACCAGAAAGGGACGGCUAACUACGUG
This 495-nucleotide ribosomal RNA is filed under the name uncultured bacterium. RNAcentral describes it as "partial 16S ribosomal RNA". It matches the Rfam family "Bacterial small subunit ribosomal RNA", at positions 28 to 507 of the family's 1533-position model. The record is from RNAcentral.